This is a long non-coding RNA of Bombyx mori (domestic silkworm), 1351 nucleotides long. RefSeq lists it as uncharacterized. The record is from RefSeq and is a predicted model, not a curated record. The transcript is spliced from 2 exons. NCBI's taxonomy places the organism in Eukaryota, Metazoa, Arthropoda, Insecta, Lepidoptera, Bombycidae.
UUUUUGACUACAGACGUUGGUAGAGAGAAUUGUCUAAUUAUAAUUAAAAUAAAUUUAUUUAUUUUUUAUUUAGAAUAGUUUAGGUCUCGUUUUAAACCCGAGCAUUCAUCCCGCGCGCGGAACCUUCACUAUGCUUUAACCGUACUAGCUCGCUUUUUUUAUUAUAUAGCGUGGAUGGACUGACGAACUCGCAGAUCACUUGGUAUGCCCAUAACUACAUACAUAAACAUACAUAAAUUGUCAAAACUCUUGGGUACCACGAAGUAAAGCCAUAAUGUAAUUAAGAGAAACAAUUUAAAUCACAAGAAAAGCAAUCAUAUAUGAAUAUUGUUUGCUUCCAAUUGAAAAAAAAGAAACUAUGUCCAAAAAGUUUAUUCUUCAGUCUUAACAAUUUUAUCAGGAAGUCUGUUAAAUAGUGUACAGUUUAAUAGUUUUGUUAUUAUUUUAUAUAUUGGUUCAUAAUUAGAAAAAUAUCGAACAGAUUCGCCAUGCUCCAUAAUGACUUAUUUAAAAAUAUAUAAAAAACUGGUGUCUAGUAAUAGUUAUUAAAUACACGGCAACGCGCUUGCGUUAAAUCCUCUAAUACUGAACAGCGCGUGCAGACAGAAUUGAUAAACAUUCCAGGAAUUACAAUUUCAAUGUACCUAAAUUAAAUUCAAGAAAUAAAUAUUUUAUGUUUCCUUUUGAACCAUUGUAGAAUCAUUUUGAUAAUCAUACUAACUAUAAAUUUUAAAAAUUACAGUAUUUGCCUAUAGAAAAUUAUGAUAAUAUAAAUAAAAAUAGCAUAUUUUGUGUUAAUUACAAUAAUUUUAUGUUAUUACUUACUUCUAUAACAACUUUAUGCACACGUUCACGCUUAUUGAUUUCUUAAGUUAUUUGAUCUGGAUUGACACUGGUUUGCCUAUAAUAACCGUUUGCGGUAUAAUAUUACUUUUAUGUUACUGAGCAUUGUAGGUAAUCAAUAAGAGGUAAUUUAUUUCUAUUUAUAAACUUUAUGCCAAAUAAAUUCAUCCGGUAUACAACACUACAAUACUAGAAGUACGUGAACGAAUAUUGUGAACUUAUUUAACAAUUAGAAUUUAGGUAUUGUAAGUAAAUUAAAUGAAUGAAUGAAUUAAUUAAUUUGUUUCGAGAUGCUGUAAAAACGCCGACAAAUAUUAAAAACGUAUAAAAUUAUUAAAAUAGCAUUAGUGCAUAACAAACAUAAAUUUAGCUAUUCGACUGAUUCCGUGCAUAUACUAAACGUAGUUUAUAUUUAUUCUAUGUAAUUAAACUAUUUCUGAGAAAAUGGUCUGAAGUGCUGAAAAGAUAGAUAGACAGCAGACGAAUAGUAAAGCUAUCUUAUAGACUA